GUCGUCUGUCAUGGUCAAAGGUGGCCGCUUCACCGGAUAUUUUCCUUUCGAUUGUCUCCAUCUUGACAUCCACUUUGGUGAGCGGAGGAACCUAGAAGGCAUGACACAGAAAAGAUGCGUCAAACAGUUUUUUACGGGGUAGUAAAUUGCAUAAGGAGGAGCAAAAGGACAUUUUGUCUCAUGAGAAGGUCUCCGAGGAUCUGGGCACCUCCCCUGCACGCUAAGGUUGUGCCUGGGAAUCAUCUUGGGGGUUUUAAUCUAAAUCUAAAAAUCUAUUCCAUGGUCCUUCUCUGUUUGAGAUCUGGCUGGGUCCUGGCAUUGUGCAUUUUGGAAAAGGUGCAGAGUGACUUUGAUGUGUACUCCUGGUUGAGAGCUGCUGUUCUGCAGGAUCAAGGGGAAAAGACUAGCAGAUGCAAGCCAUAUGCACCUGCCUCAGGUGCCCUGGGAUAGGCCACAGCGUGUAGUGGUCCAAUCCCAGCUGCACUGCUUGGUAGCUG
RNAcentral lists this long non-coding RNA (497 nucleotides) under Homo sapiens (human). RNAcentral's name for it is "HSALNT0233027". Lineage: Eukaryota; Metazoa; Chordata; Mammalia; Primates; Hominidae. The record is from RNAcentral.